ACGAACGCUGGCGGCGUGCUUAACACAUGCAAGGCGAACGGAAAGGCCCUGCUUUUGUGGGGUGCUCGAGUGGCGAACGGGUGAGUAACACGUGAGUAACCUGCCCUUGACUUUGGGAUAACUUCAGGAAACUGGGGCUAAUACCGGAUAGGAGCUCCUGCUGCAUGGUGGGGGUUGGAAAGUUUCGGCGGUUGGGGAUGGACUCGCGGCUUAUCAGCUUGUUGGUGGGGUAGUGGCUUACCAAGGCUUUGACGGGUAGCCGGCCUGAGAGGGUGACCGGCCACAUUGGGACUGAGAUACGGCCCAGACUCCUACGGGAGGCAGCAGUGGGGAAUAUUGCACAAUGGGCGGAAGCCUGAUGCAGCAACGCCGCGUGCGGGAUGACGGCCUUCGGGUUGUAAACCGCUUUCGCCUGUGACGAAGCGUGAGUGACGGUAAUGGGUAAAGAAGCACCGGCUAACUACGUG
Molecule: ribosomal RNA, 467 nt
Filed under: uncultured bacterium
Lineage: Bacteria
Description: partial 16S ribosomal RNA
Rfam family: Bacterial small subunit ribosomal RNA
Source: RNAcentral